This 265-nucleotide ribosomal RNA is filed under the name uncultured bacterium. Its description in RNAcentral is "partial 16S ribosomal RNA". It matches the Rfam family "Bacterial small subunit ribosomal RNA", at positions 793 to 1055 of the family's 1533-position model. The record is from RNAcentral.
GUCCACGCCGUAAACGAUGGGUACUAGGCGUCGGGGGGAGCGACCCCUUCGGUGCCGUCGCUAACGCAGUAAGUACCCCGCCUGGGGAGUACGGCCGCAAGGCUGAAACUCAAAGGAAUUGACGGGGGCCCGCACAAGCGGUGGAGCAUGUGGUUCAAUUCGAAGCAACGCGAAGAACCUUACCUGGGCUUGACAUGCACGGGAAAGCCGGUGGAAACAUCGGCCCCUCUUCGGAGUCCGUGCACAGGUGCUGCAUGGCUGUCGU